CCUACGUGAGGCAGCAGUGAGGAAUAUUGGUCAAUGGCCGCAGGGCUGAACCAGCCAAGUCGCGUGAAGGAUGACGGCCCUAUGGGUUGUAAACUUCUUUUAUCCGGGGAUAAAAUGCGUCACGUGUGGUGCUUUGCGUGUACCUCAAGAAUAAGCACCGGCUAAGUCCGUGCCAGCAGCCGCGGUAAUACGGAGGAUCCGGGCGUUAUCCGGAUUUAUUGGGUUUAAAGGGGGCGUAGGCGGAAGGUCAAGCCGGCGGUAAAAGCCCGUGGCUCAACCCUGUCGUGCCGUGGCAACUGGCGUGCUUGAGUGAGCGGGACGUAGGUGGAAUGCGUGGUGUAGCGGUGAAAUGCAUAGAUAUCACGAAGAACUCCGAUUGCGAAGGCAGCAUACGGGAGCGCAACUGACGCUGAUGCUCGAAGGCGUGGGUAUCGAACAGGAUUAGAUACCCCUGUAGUC
This 459-nucleotide ribosomal RNA is filed under the name uncultured bacterium. RNAcentral describes it as "partial 16S ribosomal RNA". It matches the Rfam family "Bacterial small subunit ribosomal RNA", at positions 338 to 795 of the family's 1533-position model. The record is from RNAcentral.